Molecule: ribosomal RNA, 253 nt
Filed under: Coprococcus comes ATCC 27758
Lineage: Bacteria; Bacillati; Bacillota; Clostridia; Lachnospirales; Lachnospiraceae
Description: partial 16S ribosomal RNA
Rfam family: Bacterial small subunit ribosomal RNA
Source: RNAcentral
UACGUAUGGUGCAAGCGUUAUCCGGAUUUACUGGGUGUAAAGGGAGCGUAGACGGCUGUGUAAGUCUGAAGUGAAAGCCCGGGGCUCAACCCCGGGAUUGCUUUGGAAACUAUGCAGCUAGAGUGUCGGAGAGGUAAGUGGAAUUCCCAGUGUAGCGGUGAAAUGCGUAGAUAUUGGGAGGAACACCAGUGGCGAAGGCGGCUUACUGGACGAUGACUGACGUUGAGGCUCGAAAGCGUGGGGAGCAAACAGG